Molecule: ribosomal RNA, 492 nt
Filed under: uncultured bacterium
Lineage: Bacteria
Description: partial 16S ribosomal RNA
Rfam family: Bacterial small subunit ribosomal RNA
Source: RNAcentral
AGUGAACGCUGGCGGUGGGCCUAACACAUGCAAGUCGAACGGCAGCACAGUAAGAGCUUGCUCUUACGGGUGGCGAGUGGCGGACGGGUGAGGAAUACAUCGGAAUCUACUUUUUCGUGGGGGAUAACGUAGGGAAACUUACGCUAAUACCGCAUACGACCUACGGGUGAAAGCAGGGGAUCUUCGGACCUUGCGCGAUUGAAUGAGCCGAUGUCGGAUUAGCUAGUUGGCGGGGUAAAGGCCCACCAAGGCGACGAUCCGUAGCUGGUCUGAGAGGAUGAUCAGCCACACUGGAACUGAGACACGGUCCAGACUCCUACGGGAGGCAGCAGUGGGGAAUAUUGGACAAUGGGCGCAAGCCUGAUCCAGCCAUACCGCGUGAGUGAAGAAGGCCUUCGGGUUGUAAAGCCCUUUUGUUGGGAAAGAAAAGCAGCAGGUUAAUACCCCGCUGUUCUGACGGUACCCAAAGAAUAAGCACCGGCUAACUUCGUG